This 80-nucleotide ribosomal RNA is filed under the name Trigonella gladiata. RNAcentral's name for it is "partial large subunit ribosomal RNA". It matches the Rfam family "Eukaryotic large subunit ribosomal RNA", at positions 1 to 80 of the family's 3401-position model. Lineage: Eukaryota; Viridiplantae; Streptophyta; Magnoliopsida; Fabales; Fabaceae. The record is from RNAcentral.
GAGACCUCAGGUCAGGCGGGGCUACCCGCUGAAUUUAAGCAUAUCAAUAAGCGGAGAAAAGAAACUAACAAGGAUUCCCU